CCUACGGGAGGCAGCAGUGGGGAAUAUUGGGCAAUGGGGGAAACCCUGACCCAGCGACGCCGCGUGGGGGAAGAAGGCCCUUGGGUUGUAAACCUCUUUUGCGCGGGAAGAAGAAGAUGACGGUACCGAGCGAAUAAGUCCCGGCUAACUACGUGCCAGCAGCCGCGGUAAUACGUAGGGGACGAGCGUUGUCCGGAAUUACUGGGCGUAAAGGGCGCGCAGGCUGCGCGUCGAGUCGGCUGUUAAAGAUCCGGGCUUAACCCGGUGAUGCGGUCGAGACCGGCGUGCUGGAGUGCUGUAGAGGCAAGUGGAAUUCCCGGUGUAGCGGUGAAAUGCGUAGAUAUCGGGAAGAACACCGGUGGCGAAGGCGACUUGCUGGGCAGCAACUGACGCUGAGGCGCGAAAGCCAGGGGAGCAAACGGGAUUAGCUACCCCGGUAGUCCUGGCCGUAAACGAUGAAUGCUAGGUGUGGGUGUAGAGAUACAUUCGCGCCGGAGCU
Molecule: ribosomal RNA, 499 nt
Filed under: uncultured Synergistaceae bacterium
Lineage: Bacteria; Thermotogati; Synergistota; Synergistia; Synergistales; Synergistaceae
Description: bacterial SSU rRNA
Rfam family: Bacterial small subunit ribosomal RNA
Source: RNAcentral